This 847-nucleotide ribosomal RNA is filed under the name uncultured bacterium. RNAcentral describes it as "bacterial SSU rRNA". It matches the Rfam family "Bacterial small subunit ribosomal RNA", at positions 59 to 869 of the family's 1533-position model. The record is from RNAcentral.
AAGUCGAACGAGUUCUCGUUGAUGAUCGGUGCUUGCACCGAGAUUCAACAUGGAACGAGUGGCGGACGGGUGAGUAACACGUGGGUAACCUGCCCUUAAGUGGGGGAUAACAUUUGGAAACAGAUGCUAAUACCGCAUAGAUCCAAGAACCGCAUGGUUCUUGGCUGAAAGAUGGCGUAAGCUAUCGCUUUUGGAUGGACCCGCGGCGUAUUAGCUAGUUGGUGAGGUGAUGGCUCACCAAGGCGAUGAUACGUAGCCGAACUGAGAGGUUGAUCGGCCACAUUGGGACUGAGACACGGCCCAAACUCCUACGGGAGGCAGCAGUAGGGAAUCUUCCACAAUGGACGCAAGUCUGAUGGAGCAACGCCGCGUGAGUGAAGAAGGCUUUCGGGUCGUAAAACUCUGUUGUUGGAGAAGAAUGGUCGGCAGAGUAACUGUUGUCGGCGUGACGGUAUCCAACCAGAAAGCCACGGCUAACUACGUGCCAGCAGCCGCGGUAAUACGUAGGUGGCAAGCGUUAUCCGGAUUUAUUGGGCGUAAAGCGAGCGCAGGCGGUUUUUUAAGUCUGAUGUGAAAGCCCUCGGCUUAACCGAGGAAGCGCAUCGGAAACUGGGAAACUUGAGUGCAGAAGAGGACAGUGGAACUCCAUGUGUAGCGGUGAAAUGCGUAGAUAUAUGGAAGAACACCAGUGGCGAAGGCGGCUGUCUGGUCUGUAACUGACGCUGAGGCUCGAAAGCAUGGGUAGCGAACAGGAUUAGAUACCCUGGUAGUCCAUGCCGUAAACGAUGAAUGCUAGGUGUUGGAGGGUUUCCGCCCUUCAGUGCCGCAGCUAACGCAUUAAGCAUUC